This 401-nucleotide unclassified non-coding RNA is filed under the name fungal sp. RNAcentral's name for it is "partial internal transcribed spacer region". The stretch from base 1 to 46 matches the Rfam family "Eukaryotic small subunit ribosomal RNA", at positions 1786 to 1831 of the family's 1831-position model. Lineage: Eukaryota; Fungi. The record is from RNAcentral.
AAGUCGUAACAAGGUUUCCGUAGGUGAACCUGCGGAAGGAUCAUUAACACGUAUCCAACGUUAAACCCCCCUGUGAACCUUCAUUGUGCUCCCACGCUUUGUUAGAAAGUAGCAAUCCCUGGUAAAUCAUCGCCGAACAGUUUUGAUUCAGGGACUUCUGCGAAGAGGGUGACGCCAUUCGUACAGAGUUAGUGACACUUUCAGACACCAACAAGCAGAGGAAUGCCCGGUCCAUUGCCUCGCGCUACAAUAGUCACGUUCGCUAGAGGCCGAUACGGCCGGCGACCGGGUCCCUGAGCUCACUCAGAGCUCCCUAAUAACCUUUGCAUGAAAACGGGCCUGCGCUUAAUUGUGCGGCCACCAAACUCGAACAACUGUUAACAAUGGAUAUCUUGGUUCUC